GUUUAGUUGAAAAUUUGUUUGAAUAGAAUACUUUGUAAUUGUUGAAAUAGUAAAGUUGUUUAUGUCGUUGAUCUUUUUACCUCUAAAACUUCAGUGAUAAACAGAUGUGGGUCUCCUAAUUGAAAGGUUUCGCCAAAAGAUGCCACCAGUGCCAGACCGAAAUGGAUGGUAUCCAAAAAGGUAAUUGUACACGUGUGUGCUUCCUAAUUUGAUGCAGCAUAUAUAAAAGUGAGUAUUUUUUGUUAUGAGGACAAAGGGAUUCCAUUAUGUUCUUGCAGUUAAAUCACCACAAUGAAACGUUUCUCCUGAACAGAAUAUCUAUGAUAUUUUAAUAACUGAAUGUUGUACAAUACCAGACAUCCAUAUGUUUUAUAAAAAAGUAAAAAUCGAUGUCUCAUAAUCUGUGAAUGAAAUUUUGAGCACUAUAUUUUCAGUAUUUUUAUUUUCAUAAGUGAAUAUCAAUACACAAACAACUAUUCCAUUCACAAAAUGCACAAGUGGUAAAAAUGCCACAGUCAUCAGUGAUGGAGAUAAACAUUCAAUAAUGUUAAUUUAUAACAGAAGUUAUUUCCCAGAUAAACACUAAUGAAUUUGAAAUGUAAACAGCAAUCGACUGCUUCUGUCAUGCUAUUUUUUUCCAGUUAAUCAGUUUAAAACUCAUUACAAUGGAGAUUUAAUUUUUUAAGGCAGUUUCAGCAAACCAUUUUCAAACAUAACAGAAAAGACGAUUUACUUUGAAAUAAGUAUUAAUUUCCUUAUUUUAAUAAAUACAUUUGUUCCAUCAAAUUUUAUCAAAGCAAGAUGUGAUGACUAAAUAGAAAAAUAAGCACUCAUGU
Stegodyphus dumicola is the source of this 836-nucleotide long non-coding RNA. Lineage: Eukaryota; Metazoa; Arthropoda; Arachnida; Araneae; Eresidae. The record is from RefSeq and is a predicted model, not a curated record.